This 327-nucleotide ribosomal RNA is filed under the name uncultured bacterium. Its description in RNAcentral is "bacterial SSU rRNA". It matches the Rfam family "Bacterial small subunit ribosomal RNA", at positions 28 to 334 of the family's 1533-position model. The record is from RNAcentral.
GACGAACGCUGGCGGCGUGCCUAAUACAUGCAAGUCGAGCGAACCGACGAGGUGCUUGCACCUUUGACGUUAGCGGCGAACGGGUGAGUAACACGUAAGGAAUCUACCUAUAAGUGGGGGAUAACAUCCGGAAACGGGUGCUAAUACCGCAUGUUGUAGAGUUUCCACAUGGAAAUCCUACUAAAGGUGGCCUCUACUUGUAAGCUAUCGCUUUACGAUGGGUCUGCGUCUGAUUAGCUAGGUUGGGGGGGUAACGCCUACCAAGGCGACGAUCAGUAGCCGGUCUGAGAGGAUGAACGGCCACAUUGGAACUGAGACACGGUCCAG